Molecule: transfer RNA, 70 nt
Filed under: Triplophysa bombifrons
Lineage: Eukaryota; Metazoa; Chordata; Actinopteri; Cypriniformes; Nemacheilidae
Description: Tarimichthys bombifrons tRNA-Ser
Source: RNAcentral
GAGGGGGGCCACGACGGCACUAAGUACUGCUAAUACUUAUACCCAUGGUUAAACUCCAUGGCCUCCUUAC